Molecule: long non-coding RNA, 442 nt
Filed under: Urocitellus parryii (Arctic ground squirrel)
Lineage: Eukaryota; Metazoa; Chordata; Mammalia; Rodentia; Sciuridae
Description: lncRNA (ENSUPAG00010000345.1)
Source: RNAcentral
CUGGGCUGGGGGUGUGCAGCUGGGUUUCCUCCUCCUCUGCUCCUCCCCCAGGGUCUGCUGGCAGAUGGGGYGCGGGCCCCUGGGGGACGGGGAGAGAGUGCUGGGUCAGGUUUUCAGGGUGACUCAGCCCCCCUGGGUGCUGGGAGCSGGCUGGGAACCCUGCGUGGGGAGGGGGAGGCGGGCUUGGGUCUCUGGCUGCCCUGAGUGUCAUGCUUGGGUUUGGAGGAGCCAGGAGGCCUGGGACCCCUGUGCUGUGUUUUGGGGGCCAGACUGGCCUGUCCGUCUGGGAGGAGGAGCUUGGUGCCUGGGCCCUGCCAGCCCGAGUCAGGGCAGAUUCUUUUGAAGACGUCCCGCCGCCCCAAGAACACCCUGCCUGUCUUCAGACGUCUUCCCACUGCAACCUUCUUCUCAGUUGUUUGUGAAUAAAUUGCUGAUCCGUCUG